RNAcentral lists this ribosomal RNA (207 nucleotides) under uncultured bacterium. RNAcentral's name for it is "partial 16S ribosomal RNA". It matches the Rfam family "Bacterial small subunit ribosomal RNA", at positions 568 to 774 of the family's 1533-position model. The record is from RNAcentral.
UGCGUAGGCGGCCUUACAAGUCUGAGUUGAAAGCCCACGGCUUAACCGUGGAGGGUGCUCGGAAACUGUAAGGCUUGAAUCCAGAAGAGGCAAGUAGAAUUCUAUGUGGAGCGGUGGAAUGCGUAGAUAUAUGGAGGAAUACCAGUGGCGAAGGCGGCUUGCUGGUCUGGGAUUGACGCUGAGGCACGAAAGCGUGGGGAGCAAACA